Molecule: long non-coding RNA, 1193 nt
Organism: Folsomia candida
Lineage: Eukaryota; Metazoa; Arthropoda; Collembola; Entomobryomorpha; Isotomidae
Exons: 5
Source: RefSeq, a predicted model, not a curated record
UUUCAUUUCAGCUGGAGUGAAAGUGAAAAUGAAAACUUUUGUGUUGGUCGUCUCGUUACGUUAGACAAUUAUUUUAAGUAAUUCUAAUUGUUUCUUACAUUGCAAAUUACACAUCACGAGUAUUCAUGAUCACUUGAUAAAACAAAGUCAGUAGGAUGGAUUCGUGUUUCCUGUGCGGCGUUAUUAUUCCUAACACAAAUUCCAGGAGACCGACACCACUUCUUGACCGCAAAGCCCGAGUGAUUUUCCUCCUCCGGAAUCUCCUCAAUCUCGGCCCCACCGCUUGUGAAGAUCUUCUACGAAAUUAUGGUCAUUCUGUCGACUGGAUUUCGCUUUGCUUAAAAUGUAGCCGCAUUGUGGCGCAAGGGAGUCGCCUAUUUGUCCAAAUUAAGUAGUUGGAAGACAAAUUGAACUCUGUGAAGGAACAAGCCAGGAGGAUGGUCAAGCGAGUUUGCGAGGAUGGCGACAACGAUGUGGGCGGCGGCGAUUCGGCGACAAAAACUAUUAGAAGAUAUUUCCUCACCAAUCUUGUUGGCGGAGUAGAAAAUGGUAAUGGAGUGGAUGGAUGGAGAGAGUUAUCCCCGAAACGAUAGUAAAAGUUGAGCUGGAUAAAUCUGUUGAGGAAGAAAUGGUUGAUGAAACCCAUGAUUUUGUUGGGAAUGAAAUCGUCCAGAAUUUUGUUACAGGAAAUGAUUCGCGUACUGCUCUAGCAGAAAACUUAACUCCCGUACCGAUAAGCACGCGUAAAACAAAGAAAGCCACCCAUUGUUAGGUAAAACCAAGUUGGCACGUAAUCUAUUUUAUGCCGAGGAACGUCGCAAACGCUGGGGACGAUUUGAACAGAUCGCAUUAAAAAUAAAGCUAAGAUCUAAGCCAGAUAUUCCCUGGCCUGAAAUUCUGGCCGCAAACCCUCCCCCUCCCACCGAAGAAGACGCCAAAUUCGAAUCAGCAGCCGAACUAAAAAGAUUAACUGAACUCGCUACGAAACACAAAAUCGUGAUCUUCGCGAGAAUCGAUAUUAUAUUAUACGGGAUUAUACCAUUCUCGAGACUAUACGGUUUUAAAGAAGGUGAAAAAGACGACGUAUGAAGAAGACAGUGAUUGAGAUGGGGAGUAAAAUGUUGAUAAAAUUAAAGUCAUUUAUUUGUAUUUGUAUCAAUUUUUAUUAAAACUAAGCUACACAUUUUUUAUGA